UACAGAGGGUGCGAACGUUGCUCGGAAUUACUGGGCGUAAAGCGCGUGUAGGCGGAUCGGCAAGUCAGGCGUGAAAUCCCCAGGCUCAACCUGGGAACUGCGCUUGAAACUGCCGGUCUUGAGUGUCGGAGAGGGUGGCGGAAUUCCUGGUGUAGAGGUGAAAUUCGUAGAUAUCAGGAGGAACACCGGUGGCGAAGGCGGCCACCUGGACGACAACUGACGCUGAGACGCGAAAGCAUGGGGAGCGAACAGG
This 253-nucleotide ribosomal RNA is filed under the name uncultured bacterium. RNAcentral's name for it is "partial 16S ribosomal RNA". It matches the Rfam family "Bacterial small subunit ribosomal RNA", at positions 524 to 776 of the family's 1533-position model. The record is from RNAcentral.